This 255-nucleotide long non-coding RNA is filed under the name Homo sapiens (human). Its description in RNAcentral is "non-protein coding lnc-TRIM62-1:1". Lineage: Eukaryota; Metazoa; Chordata; Mammalia; Primates; Hominidae. The record is from RNAcentral.
GGGGAGAGAGGAGGGUUCCAACAACCCCAGGCACCAGGAGCUGGGUGCCUUCCUCUGUUGUCCUCUCCAAGGAGAAGAGAGAGCUGGCCUGGACCUCCAGGGCAGAGCCACUUCAUACCUGCCCACACCUGGUCCUCCUUUGCUGGCAACAGAGUUCAGAGCUAGCACCAGCCACAGCAAGGACAAAGCCCAGCCCAGGCAGCUGCUGGAGCUGCAGGGAGUCCCAGGAAUAAAAUGCCCUGAGAAGUCCCUGAG